RNAcentral lists this long non-coding RNA (557 nucleotides) under Triticum aestivum (bread wheat). RNAcentral describes it as "long non-coding RNA (TAES_LNC016724)". The record is from RNAcentral. Lineage: Eukaryota; Viridiplantae; Streptophyta; Magnoliopsida; Poales; Poaceae.
UACAACAAGUACAUAAUCUGAAUGCAAGAUAAAUUGCAUUAAUACAACCUGCCAUCCUUUAUUUGCAGCAAGACUAAAGACAAAAUCAAUUACAAUAAGACUAGAGGCUACAGGAAGAUGAAUUUUUUCAGCACUUCAAGAUCUUCCAUCACCAUCAACCUGCCAUCCUUUAUUUGCAGCAAGACUAAAGACAAAAUCAAUUGCAAUAAGACUAGAGGCUACAGCAAGAUGAAUUUUUUCAGCUCUUCAAGAUCUUCCAUCACCAUCAACCUGCCAUCCUUUAUUUGCUGCAAGACUAAAGACAAAAUCAAUUGCAAUAAGACUAGAGGCUACAACAAGAUGAAUUUUUUCAGCUCUUCAAGAUCUUCCAUCACCAUCAACCUGCCAUCCUUUCUCCAAGUAGCAAACUAGCAACCCAUAUUUCCUGUCAAAAAAUAUGUCUGUCAGUCCAUUUGCAUCAUAAGAAUCCAUUUUACAGGAUAACUUAGGACUUUACAAGAAACAUUGGAAGUCAAACAAGUAGCAAAGUAGAAACAUUCAGCUUUUCUUCAGAACAG